This 253-nucleotide ribosomal RNA is filed under the name uncultured bacterium. RNAcentral describes it as "partial 16S ribosomal RNA". It matches the Rfam family "Bacterial small subunit ribosomal RNA", at positions 524 to 776 of the family's 1533-position model. The record is from RNAcentral.
UACGAGGGGGGCAAAUGUUGUUCGGAAUCACUGGGCGUAAAGGGAGCGUAGGCGGGUUUUUAAGUCAGGUGUUUAAUCCCGGGGCCCAACCCCGGACAGGCACUUGAAACUGGGAAUCUUGAAUAGUGGAGAGGUCAGUGGAAUUGGGGGUGUAGCGGUGGAAUGCGCAGAUAUCGGGAGGAACACCGGUGGCGAAGGCGGUUCUCUGGGCCUUACCUGACGCUGAGGAGCGAAAGCGUGGGGAGCGAACAGG